GCCAAGGUGGCGGAGCGGCUACGCGGUUGACUGCAGGUCAACUUCACUCUGGUUCAAAUCCAGACCUUGGCU
Molecule: transfer RNA, 72 nt
Filed under: Methanospirillum sp.
Lineage: Archaea; Methanobacteriati; Methanobacteriota; Methanomicrobia; Methanomicrobiales; Methanospirillaceae
Also listed under: 1 other name
Description: tRNA-Cys
Rfam family: tRNA
About the family: Transfer RNA (tRNA) molecules are approximately 80 nucleotides in length.
Source: RNAcentral